GAUGAACGCUGGCGGCGUGCCUAAUACAUGCAAGUCGAGCGAACAGAUAAGGAGCUUGCUCCUUUGACGUUAGCGGCGGACGGGUGAGUAACACGUGGGUAACCUACCUAUAAGACUGGGAUAACUUCGGGAAACCGGAGCUAAUACCGGAUAACAUUUGGAACCGCAUGGUUCUAAAGUGAAAGAUGGUUUUGCUAUCACUUAUAGAUGGACCCGCGCCGUAUUAGCUAGUUGGUAAGGUAACGGCUUACCAAGGCGACGAUACGUAGCCGACCUGAGAGGGUGAUCGGCCACACUGGAACUGAGACACGGUCCAGACUCCUACGGGAGGCAGCAGUAGGGAAUCUUCCGCAAUAGGCGAAAGCCUGACGGAGCAACGCCGCGUGAGUGAUGAAGGGUUUCGGCUCGUAAAACUCCGUUAUUAGGGAAGAACAAAUGUGUAAGUAACUGUGCACGUCUUGACGGUACCUAAUCAGAAAGCCACGGCUAACUACGUG
RNAcentral lists this ribosomal RNA (497 nucleotides) under uncultured bacterium. RNAcentral describes it as "partial 16S ribosomal RNA". It matches the Rfam family "Bacterial small subunit ribosomal RNA", at positions 28 to 507 of the family's 1533-position model. The record is from RNAcentral.